UGAAUCUUUCAAAUCAUUGAGCACUCAAACAUUGAUUUGAGUGUAAUGAAUCUAUUAUUAUUUGAAUAGGAAGAUCUGAUGC
Trifolium pratense (red clover) is the source of this 82-nucleotide small nucleolar RNA. RefSeq annotates it as small nucleolar RNA snoR64a. NCBI's taxonomy places the organism in Eukaryota, Viridiplantae, Streptophyta, Magnoliopsida, Fabales, Fabaceae. The transcript has a single exon. The record is from RefSeq and is a predicted model, not a curated record.